UCCCGUGUGGCUCAGUUGGUAGAGCAUGGUGUUUGCAAGGGUUGUGGGUUCGAUUCCCACAGGGGAC
RNAcentral lists this transfer RNA (67 nucleotides) under Salmo salar (Atlantic salmon). It matches the Rfam family "tRNA". Rfam says of the family: Transfer RNA (tRNA) molecules are approximately 80 nucleotides in length. The record is from Rfam by way of RNAcentral. RNAcentral also lists the same sequence under 2 other names. Lineage: Eukaryota; Metazoa; Chordata; Actinopteri; Salmoniformes; Salmonidae.